GAUGAACGCUGACAGAAUGCUUAACACAUGCAAGUCUUUGGCGAAGCUGUGCUUGCACCGCCUAGCCAAGGCGGACGGGUGAGUAACGCGUAAGGAACUUGCCCUGCAGUCAGGGAUAACAGACGGAAACGACUGAUAAGACCUGGUAAAGUCAGGCGGACUCAUGUCCAGCCUGAUGAAAAGAGAUGCUGCAGGAGAGCCUUGCGUCCUAUUAGCUUGUUGGUGGGGUAACGGCCCACCAAGGCGAUGAUAGGUAGCCGGCCUGAGAGGGUGGACGGCCACAAGGGGACUGAGAUACGGCCCGUACUCCUACGGGAGGCAGCAGUGGGGAAUAUUGGACAAUGGGGGCAACCCUGAUCCAGCAAUUCUGUGUGCACGAUGAAGGUUUUCGGAUUGUAAAGUGAUUUCAGCAGGGAAGAAAAAAUGACGGUACCUGCAGAAGAAGCGACGGCUAAAUACGUG
RNAcentral lists this ribosomal RNA (462 nucleotides) under uncultured bacterium. RNAcentral describes it as "partial 16S ribosomal RNA". It matches the Rfam family "Bacterial small subunit ribosomal RNA", at positions 28 to 507 of the family's 1533-position model. The record is from RNAcentral.